Molecule: long non-coding RNA, 844 nt
Filed under: Marmota monax (woodchuck)
Lineage: Eukaryota; Metazoa; Chordata; Mammalia; Rodentia; Sciuridae
Source: RNAcentral
GCCAAGCCUACACAGCUGUCACCAGGGAGCCUCCAGGCAGGGUGAGGGUCGUGAGACUCGGUAAUCACAAGGUGAAAUGGAUUAGGGUCCCGAGAGGGAUGUACCCCAUGAGGUCACGGAGGCACCCCAACCCAUCCAGACCGGGGUUGGAGCAGGGAAUCCUUCCCCAGUGAAUCCUGGUCUCAGACUGAUCAGGAAAUGGCUGGGGCAAGGGGCAAGGGCCAGCCAGAGCCAAGCCUGCAGGGAGAGCUGGGAGGGAGACCCCAGCUCCUGCAAAGGGUCCUGCACAAGCUGCAGAGUCUGGACUCUGUCCCCACAGGUGGUGGCCAGAUUCUGGUGUGACACUAUCCCGAUGCAUUUGUACCAAAGCUUAGGACUCAGGAUCCAAGGGUCUGUCAGUCCCUUGGGGUGCUGGGCCUUGGAUGUGAUGUGUCCCUGUGACCUGUUCCUCCUGGCUACAGCAGCUGUCCUUGGAUAUGUCCUUGGUGAGGCGCCCCAAACCCUAGAGACAGGCCUGUUUCCAGUCUAGCAGUGACCAGAGUGGACAGCCGUCCCUGCAGCCCUCCCUGCCAAGUCAGGCAUCCCCAUGUGCCCAGCUGAUGCCCUGUUUUCAGUUCACGAGGGUGUCCAAGGCAGCUCCAGGGUACAGCUCCCACCCGGUCCCUCCAAGGAGAGUCAGUGCCUCUCCGAGGGGUGGGAGCUGGGCGCUUUGAUGGGUGGGAGAUAGAGCUGGGGAGUCCCUGACGCUGAACACAGGACCAUCCUGGCUGGUGGGUACUAGGAAGGGACCUUGGGCAGCACAGGGCCAGGGGGGCAGCACGAAGCCCCUCUGAAGAGGAGUUGA